Molecule: ribosomal RNA, 573 nt
Filed under: uncultured bacterium
Lineage: Bacteria
Description: bacterial SSU rRNA
Rfam family: Bacterial small subunit ribosomal RNA
Source: RNAcentral
GUUGGCGGGGUAACGGCCCACCAAGGCGACGAUGCCUAGGGGUUCUGAGAGGAAGGUCCCCCACACUGGUACUGAGACACGGACCAGACUCCUACGGGAGGCAGCAGUGAGGAAUAUUGGUCAAUGGGCGUAAGCCUGAACCAGCCAAGUCGCGUGAGGGACGACGGCCCUACGGGUUGUAAACCUCUUUUGCCGGGGGACAAACGGCGGCACGCGUGCCGUCACUGAGGGUACCCGGAGAAAAAGCAUCGGCUAACUCCGUGCCAGCAGCCGCGGUAAUACGGAGGAUGCGAGCGUUAUCCGGAUUUAUUGGGUUUAAAGGGUGCGUAGGCGGGAUGCCAAGUCAGCGGUCAAAUACGGGGGCUCAACCUGCGUCCGCCGUUGAAACUGGCGUUCUUGAGUGGGCGAGAAGUACGCGGAAUGCGUGGUGUAGCGGUGAAAUGCAUAGAUAUCACGCAGAACCCCGAUUGCGAAGGCAGCGUACCGGCGCCCGACUGACGCUGAAGCACGAAAGCGUGGGUAUCGAACAGGAUUAGAUACCCUGGUAGUCCACGCAGUAAACGAUGAACACUA